GGGGGAGCAAGCGAUGUUCGGAUUUACUGGGCGUAAAGGGCGCGUAGGCGGCCACCGUCAAGUCGACUGUGAAAUCUCCGGGCUUAACUCGGAAAGGUCAGCCGAUACUGCGGGGCUAGAGUGCAGAAGGGGCAACUGGAAUUCUCGGUGUAGCGGUGAAAUGCGUAGAUAUCGAGAGGAACACCUGCGGCGAAGGCGGGUUGCUGGGCUGACACUGACGCUGAGGCGCGAAAGCUAGGGGAGCGAACGGGAUUAGAUACCCCGGUAGUCCUAGCCUUAAACGAUGAAUGCUUGGUGUCUGGGGUUUCAUAGUCCCCGGGUGCCGUCGCUAACGCUUUAAGCAUUCCGCCUGGGGGAGUACGGUCGCAAGACUG
Molecule: ribosomal RNA, 374 nt
Filed under: uncultured organism
Description: bacterial SSU rRNA
Rfam family: Bacterial small subunit ribosomal RNA
Source: RNAcentral